CUUUGAGAAACCUUGUUUCUACUGUUAUAUCUACACAACACACAGCAGAUUAAUUCCAAUAUAACCUUUAUUUGGAACACCUUAUAUUCAGCAAAACAGGUAUUGAUGACUGUGAAUUUUAAUUAAAAAGUAAAACAUAAUAGCAGUCAUCCAGUUUCAAAACAUUUAUUUGUGAUAAAAUAACUACAAAUAGAUUUUCCACACAGGGCCUAUGUACGACUCAUUUGGAUUAGUUACAUAUAUAAACACAAUUUAUAUACUGCUUAUUUAACCCUAAUAAUUUACCUUUGUUUUAUUAAAACAGAAUGCAAUUUACAUCGUGAGUAAGACGACCAUUUUCCCUUCCUGAAACCAGCUUUUUUUAAUCUAGUCACUUGAUAUAUGCCUAUUGGCAUACAUUUUAGGUUUUUUAAUUCAAAUUUAAAACUUACUUGCUUUAAAUAACACAGAUAAUAAGAAAAAAUACACACUAUACUUGGAUUUGGAUUGUGGUUUGACACAGAUGAAUGUGUAACUUCUAUUAAUAAUAAAAGGAAUACACAUACAUUUACAUAUUGCUAUAUUAAACUGAAAGUACAGUUAAAAUAAAAAAUGAUUAGAGUUAUCUCCCCUUGCAUAUUUUAAGGAAGUAUAUGGAAACAAAAUAAAGUAACUACAUCUAUAUCAAGUAAGUUAAUUAUCUCCCUUUAAAUAUUUCAGAUCACGAAUAUCUUCCUUUAUGCACAUUCUAUGGUCAUGUACUUCAACUGUGUAAAGUUUCAUUAAUAUUGCUACAGUCAUUUAGGAGGAGUUGUGCUUACAAGACCUAAUGCCACAUAUUGUGAUAUUUAAACUUAAUAAUUUCAAUUAUCUCCCUUGAAAAAAACAUCUGAUAAGAAAUAUCCUCCUUCCUCAUGUCUAAAGAUGUAUACAACAUCUGUGUAAAGCUUCAUCAACAUUGAUUAAUCCAUUUAGAAGAAGGUGUGCUUACAAGACUUGUUGCCAUUUAUUGCUAUAUUUAACAAAGUCAAUUCAAUUAUCUCCCUUGAAAUAAUUUCGACGAGAAAUAUUUUCCUUCAUGAACAUCCUCAGGUUGUGUACUACAAUCGUAUCAAGUUUUAUCAAUAUUGGUCCAUCCAUUAGGAAGAUGUUGUGCAUGUAUACGAGACUUAUCAGAUGUAUACACCCCCCCCCCCCCAAAAAAAAAAAAAACGAAUUCUGAACAAGAGUGGACACACUGAAAUGUCUCGCCUGUUCUAGUGUUCAUAAUAUAAUUUAUGUUGAAAGUAUAAAAAAGCAUUGUAUACCACAAGCAUUAAUUAACUGUACUUGAGAUGAAGGCGACACAAAAAUCACAUCAUGAGGAAGAUGUGUACUAAGUUUCAAAUUGAUGUGCCUCUAACUUCAUCAAAAACCACCUUGACCAAAAACUUAAACUUGAUGUGGGAUGGAAAAUCAAACAAAUACACUAUUGUA
RNAcentral lists this long non-coding RNA (1455 nucleotides) under Mytilus galloprovincialis (Mediterranean mussel). The record is from RNAcentral. Lineage: Eukaryota; Metazoa; Mollusca; Bivalvia; Mytilida; Mytilidae.